This is a non-coding RNA of Arachis ipaensis, 385 nucleotides long. Lineage: Eukaryota; Viridiplantae; Streptophyta; Magnoliopsida; Fabales; Fabaceae. The record is from RefSeq and is a predicted model, not a curated record.
ACGCACUGUCCUGCAGGUGACAAUGCUUCUGAUAUUGAUUGCUCCACCAAACAUUGCUGGGAAUCAUUCUGAUAGGGGGAUAUUGAGCUUGGUUAUGUACUUGUUGGACACAAGGUUGUAAGAAAAAUAUAAAAUACAGAAAAUGAGGGACCCUGACGUGAUUUUGAGACCCCAGACCUACUAUUAAUUUUCCAUUGCUUUUGUAAUUAUACAUGCGUUUUGCUUAGUUAGUGAAUUUCGGCUGGAUAGGAGGUUGAAGGGUUUUUUGUUACUGAAAAAACCUGGAAAGUUUUGUAUAAGGAUUAAUGUAUAAAAUAAUUAUACCAAAAAUUGUCACUAAUUACUGUUUAAUUUAUCUUGUAAUAAAAAUUGCAUAUUAUAUUUA